RNAcentral lists this ribosomal RNA (768 nucleotides) under uncultured bacterium. Its description in RNAcentral is "bacterial SSU rRNA". It matches the Rfam family "Bacterial small subunit ribosomal RNA", at positions 28 to 776 of the family's 1533-position model. The record is from RNAcentral.
GACGAACGCUGGCGGCGUGCCUAAUACAUGCAAGUCGAGCGAAGUUUUUCUGGUGCUUGCACUAGAAAAACUUAGCGGCGAACGGGUGAGUAACACGUAAAGAACCUGCCUCAUAGACUGGGACAACUAUUGGAAACGAUAGCUAAUACCGGAUAACAGCAUUAACUGCAUGGUUGAUGUUUAAAAGUUGGUUUUGCUAACACUAUGAGAUGGCUUUGCGGUGCAUUAGCUAGUUGGUGGGGUAAAGGCCUACCAAGGCGACGAUGCAUAGCCGACCUGAGAGGGUGAUCGGCCACACUGGGACUGAGACACGGCCCAGACUCCUACGGGAGGCAGCAGUAGGGAAUCUUCCGCAAUGGGCGAAAGCCUGACGGAGCAACGCCGCGUGAGUGAAGAAGGAUUUCGGUUCGUAAAGCUCUGUUGUUAGGGAAGAAUGAUUGUGUAGUAGCUAUACACAGUAGAGACGGUACCUAACCAGAAAGCCACGGCUAACUACGUGCCAGCAGCCGCGGUAAUACGUAGGUGGCAAGCGUUGUCCGGAAUUAUUGGGCGUAAAGCGCGCGCAGGUGGUUUAAUAAGUCUGAUGUGAAAGCCCACGGCUCAACCGUGGAAGGUCAUUGGAAACUGUUAAACUUGAGUGCAGGAGAGAAAAGUGGAAUUCCUAGUGUAGCGGUGAAAUGCGUAGAGAUUAGGAGGAACACCAGUGGCGAAGGCGGCUUUUUGGCCUGUAACUGACACUGAGGCGCGAAAGCGUGGGGAGCAAACAGG